CUGACACAGGUGCUGCAUGGCUGUCGUCUAGCUCGUGUCGUGAGAUCGUUGGGUUAAGUCCCGUAACGAGCGCAACCCUUGUCCUAGUUACCAGCACGUUAUGGUGGGCACUCUAAGGAGACUGCCGGUGACAAACCGGAGGAAGGUGGGGAUGACGUCAAGUCAUCAUGGCCCUUACGGCCUGGGCUACACACGUGCUACAAUGGUCGGUACAAAGGGUUGCCAAGCCGCGAGGUGGAGCUAAUCCCAUAAAACCGAUCGUAGUCCGGAUCGCAGUCUGCAACUCGACUGCGUGAAGUCGGAAUCGCUAGUAAUCGUGAAUCAGAAUGUCACGGUGAAUACGUUCCCGGGCCUU
This 355-nucleotide ribosomal RNA is filed under the name uncultured Pseudomonas sp. RNAcentral describes it as "bacterial SSU rRNA". It matches the Rfam family "Bacterial small subunit ribosomal RNA", at positions 1029 to 1382 of the family's 1533-position model. The record is from RNAcentral. Lineage: Bacteria; Pseudomonadati; Pseudomonadota; Gammaproteobacteria; Pseudomonadales; Pseudomonadaceae.